GAACCGUCCAAACGUUAUUCGGAAUCACUGGGCUUAAAGGGUGCGUAGGCGGCUUGGGCAAGUUGGGGUGUGAAAUCCCUCGGCUCAACCGGGGAACCGCGCUCAAAAACUGCCAGGCUAGAGGAAGAUAGAGGUGAGCGGAACUGAUGGUGGAGCGGUGAAAUGCGUUGAUAUCAUUAGGAACACCUGUGGCGAAAGCGGCUCACUGGGUCUUUUCUGACGCUGAGGUACGAAAGCUAGGGUAGCGAACGGGAUUAGAUACCCCGGUAGUCCUAGCUGUAAACGAUGAGCACUAGGUUGGAGGCUCCUCCAUAGGCUUCCGACCGAAGCGAAAGUGUUAAGUGCUCCGCCUGGGGAGUAUGGUCGCAAGGCUG
This 374-nucleotide ribosomal RNA is filed under the name uncultured organism. RNAcentral describes it as "partial 16S ribosomal RNA". It matches the Rfam family "Bacterial small subunit ribosomal RNA", at positions 527 to 896 of the family's 1533-position model. The record is from RNAcentral.